RNAcentral lists this unclassified non-coding RNA (379 nucleotides) under Asterostroma sp. KO-2014. Its description in RNAcentral is "partial contains ITS1, 5.8S rRNA and ITS2". The stretch from base 104 to 257 matches the Rfam family "5.8S ribosomal RNA". Lineage: Eukaryota; Fungi; Basidiomycota; Agaricomycetes; Russulales; Lachnocladiaceae. The record is from RNAcentral.
CUAUUUAAUUAGGGGCUUUUGAAAGCUUGCAAUCCAAAUCUUUUAUAUUAUACACUAUAAACAUUACAAUGAAUGAAUCAUAAUAACAAUAUAUAUAAUAUACAACUUUCAGCAACGGAUCUCUUGGCUCUCGCAUCGAUGAAGAACGCAGCGAAAUGCGAUAAGUAAUGUGAAUUGCAGAAUUCAGUGAAUCAUCGAAUCUUUGAAUGCACCUUGCACCUCUUGGUAUUCUGAGAGGUACACCUGUUUGAGUAUCAUUAAUUCUAUCCACUUUUAGUUAAAAGGGUUGGGACUUGGGAGAUUUACUUGCAGAGUUGAAUAUCUGCUCUCCUUGAAUGUAUUAGCAGGGAUUUUAUUAGUCCUUGGAUUGAUUGUGAUA